GAUGAACGCUAGCGGCAGGCUUAACACAUGCAAGUCGAGGGGCAGCAUAAAUAGUAGCAAUACUAUUGGUGGCGACCGGCGGACGGGUGCGUAACGCGUAUACAACCUUCCCUAAACAGGGGGAUAAUCUGGAGAAAUUCGGUCUAAUACCCCAUAACAUCAGAGCAGGCAUCUGUUUUGGUUAAAAUUUCCGGAGGUUUAGGAUGGGUAUGCGUAGCAUUAGCUAGUUGGUGAGGUAACGGCUCACCAGGGCGACGAUGCUUAGGGGGACUGAGAGGUUAAACCCCCACACUGGUACUGAGACACGGACCAGACUCCGACGGGAGGCAGCAGUGAGGAAUAUUGGUCAAUGGGCGGAAGCCUGAACCAGCCAUGCCGCGUGCAGGAUGACGGCUCUAUGAGCUGUAAACUGCUUUUGUACGAGGGUAAAGUGGGCUACGUGUAGCCUUUUGAAAGUAUCGUACGAAUAAGGAUCGGCUAACUCCGUGCCAGCAGCCGCCGUAA
This 504-nucleotide ribosomal RNA is filed under the name uncultured bacterium. Its description in RNAcentral is "partial 16S ribosomal RNA". It matches the Rfam family "Bacterial small subunit ribosomal RNA", at positions 28 to 523 of the family's 1533-position model. The record is from RNAcentral.